CCAGUCGGCCGGACGGCCGCUCUCGCAAGAACUCAGGUUCUCGUGGGGGAGGAAAGUCCGGGCUCCACGGAAACACGGUGCCGGAUAACGUCCGGCGGGGGCGACCCCAGGGACAGCGCCACAGAGAUCGAACCGCCUGCGUGCCUCGGCUCGCAGGUAAGGGUGAAAAGGUGCGGUAAGAGCGCACCGCGGACCCGGCAACGGGGACGGCAUGGCAAGCCCCACCGGGAGCAAAACCGAAUAGGGACGAUGCUUUUCGCGCGAGCGGGGAGGGGCCUGUUUCUGGGCCUUGUCGUCCGGGUUGGUUGCUCGAGGCGCGCAGCAAUGCGCGUCCCAGAGGAAUGGCCGUCACGUCGGGGGAGCGAUCUCCCGGCCAUCCAAAACCCGGCUUACAGGCCGACUGGCAAU
This is a non-coding RNA of 408 nucleotides. It matches the Rfam family "Bacterial RNase P class A". Rfam says of the family: Ribonuclease P (RNase P) is a ubiquitous endoribonuclease, found in archaea, bacteria and eukarya as well as chloroplasts and mitochondria. Its best characterised activity is the generation of mature 5'-ends of tRNAs by cleaving the 5'-leader elements of precursor-tRNAs. The record is from Rfam.